RNAcentral lists this ribosomal RNA (142 nucleotides) under Paramycodrosophila n. sp. POG-2002. Its description in RNAcentral is "partial 28S ribosomal RNA". The record is from RNAcentral. Lineage: Eukaryota; Metazoa; Arthropoda; Insecta; Diptera; Drosophilidae.
UAUCAUUAACGUUAUACGGGCCUGGCACCCUCUAUGGGUAAAUGGCCUCAUUUAAGAAGGACUUAAAUCGUUAAUUUCUCAUACUAGAAUGUUGACGUUCCGUACACUGCAUCUCACAUUUGCCAUAUAGACAAAGUACUUA